GGUUCGAUCAUGGCUCAGAUUGAACGCUGGCGGGAUACUUUACAUGCAAGUCGAACGGCAGCACGGACUGUCUGGUCUGGUGGCGAGUGGCGAACGGGUGAGUAAUGUAUCGGAACGUGCCUAGUAGCGGGGGAUAACUACGCGAAAGCGUAGCUAAUACCGUACGCCCUUCGGGGGAAAGCGGGGGACCUUCGGGCCUCGCACUAUUAGAGCGGCCGAUAUCGGAUUAGCUAGUUGGUGGGAGUAACGGCUCACCAAGGCGACGUGAUCCGUAGCUGGUUUGAGGACGACCAGCCACACUGGGACUGAGACACGGCCCAGACUCCUACGGGGAGGCAGCAGUGGGAAUUUUGGACAAUGGAAACCCUGAUCCAGCCAUCCCGCGUGUGCGAUGAAGGACUUCGGGCUGUAAAGCACUUUUGGCAGGAAAGAAACGGCACGGGAUAAUACCCCGUGCAACUGACAGUACCUGCAGAAUAAGCACCGGCUAACUACGUGCCAACAGCCGCGGUAAUACGUAAGUGCAAGCGUUAAUCGGAAUUACUGGGCGUAAAGCGUGCGCAGGCGGUUCGGAAAGAAAGAUGUGAAAUCCCAGAGCUUAACUUUGGAACUGCAUUUUUAACUACCGAGCUAGAGUGUGUCAGAGGAGGUGGAAUUCCAUGUGGCAGUGAAAUGCGUAGAUAUGCGGAGGAACACCGAUGGCGAAGGCAGCCUCCUGGGAUAACACUGACGCUCAUGCACGAAAGCGUGGGAGCAAACAGGAUUAGAUACCCUGGUAGUCCACGCCCUAAACGAUGUCAACUAGCUGUUGUUGGGGCCUUCGGGCCUUGGUAGCGCAACUAACGCGUGAAGUUGACCGCCUGGGGAGUACGGUCGCAAGAUUAAAACUCAAAGGAAUUGACGGGGACCCGCACAAGCGGUGGAUGAUGUGGAUUAAUUCGAUGCAACGCGAAGCCUUACCCUUGACAUGUCUGGAAUCCCGAAGAGAUUUGGGAGUGCUCGCAAAGAGAACCGGAACACAGGUGCUGCAUGGCUGUCGUCAGCUCGUGUCGUGAGAUGUUGGGUUAAGUCCGCAACGAGCGCAAGCCCUUGUCAUUAGUUGCUACGAAGGGCACUCUAAUGAGACUGCCGGUGACAAACCGGAGGAAGGUGGGAUGACGUCAAGUCCUCAUGGCCCUUAUGGGUAGGGCUUCACACGUCAUACAAUGGUCGGGACAGAGGGUCGCCAACCCGCGAGGAGCCAAUCCCAGAAACCCGAUCGUAGUCCGGAUCGCAGUCUGCAACUCGACUGCGUGAUCGGAAUCGCUAGUAAUCGCGGAUCAGCAUGUCGCGGUGAAUACGUUCCCGGGUCUUGUACACCGCCCGUCACACCAUGGGAGUGGGUUUACCAGAAGUAGUUAGCCUAACCGUAAGGAGGGCGAUUACCACGGUAGGAUUCAUGACUGGGGUGAAGUCGUAACAAGGUAA
This 1467-nucleotide ribosomal RNA is filed under the name uncultured Bordetella sp. Its description in RNAcentral is "partial 16S-23S ribosomal RNA intergenic spacer". It matches the Rfam family "Bacterial small subunit ribosomal RNA". The record is from RNAcentral. Lineage: Bacteria; Pseudomonadati; Pseudomonadota; Betaproteobacteria; Burkholderiales; Alcaligenaceae.